Molecule: ribosomal RNA, 210 nt
Filed under: uncultured bacterium
Lineage: Bacteria
Description: partial 16S ribosomal RNA
Rfam family: Bacterial small subunit ribosomal RNA
Source: RNAcentral
CGCGCAGGCGGCCAGGUAAGUCGAAUGUGAAAGCCCCCCGGCUCAACUGGGGGAGGGUCAUUCGAUACUGCUUGGCUUGAAGGUAGGAGAGGGAAGCGGAAUUUCAGGUGUAGUGGUGAAAUGCGUAGAUAUCUGAAGGAACACCAGUGGCGAAGGCGGCUUUCUGGCCUAUUCUUGACGCUGAGGCGCGAAAGCUAGGGGAGCGGAACG